This 520-nucleotide long non-coding RNA is filed under the name Rattus norvegicus (Norway rat). Its description in RNAcentral is "long non-coding RNA NONRATT017110". Lineage: Eukaryota; Metazoa; Chordata; Mammalia; Rodentia; Muridae. The record is from RNAcentral.
GGUCCAGCAGCCCCCCACCCCGGGCUGGGUCAGUUAGAAGGGGUGGCGUCACGUGGACAUCAGAAACUCUAGUCUGUAAAUGUGGGUCAUCCUACCCGGCCCCACACCGCAGAGACAACCCCCCCCCCAGGACCCCAGGAUACCUGCUGUACCAGGCCGACCCGCGUCUCGCCUUCCGGAGUCCACAGACGCCGGAGAGAUCGGGGGUGGGGGGGAGCAGUGGAGGAGAGAAGACCAGGGAGCCAGGUCCUGCUGGUUGGCGAAGGUCAGGAGCCUGGAAGAGACCACUGAGUGAGCACAGAUCCGAGAGAAUCGGGCCAGCACUCCCCCACCCUGGGCUGGGUCAGUUACAAGGGGUGGCGUCACGUGGACAUCAGAAACUCUAGUCUGUAAAUGUGAGUCAUCCUACCCGGCCCCACACCGCAGAGACACCCCCACCCCAGACAGGGCACCAGGAUACCUGCUGCACUAGGGCGACCCGCGUCUUGUCCCCCAGAGUCCAUAGACUCCGCAGAGAUCG